AACGAACGCUGGCGGCAUGCCUAACACAUGCAAGUCGAACGAAGGCUUCGGCCUUAGUGGCGCACGGGUGCGUAACGCGUGGGAAUCUGCCCUUGGGUUCGGAAUAACAGUGGGAAACCGCUGCUAAUACCGGAUGAUGACGUAAGUCCAACGAUUUAUCUCCCAAGGAUGAGCCCGCGUAGGAUUGGAUAGUUGGGGGGUGAAUGGCCCACCAAGGCGACCAUACUUAGCUGGUCUGAGAGGAUGAUCAGCCACACUAGGACUAAGACACGGCUCAGACGCCUACGUGAGGCAGAAGUGGGUAAUGUUGGACAAUGGGCGAAAGGCUUAUCAAGCAAUGCCGCGUGAGUGAUGAAGGCCUUAGGGUUGUAAAGCUCUUUUCUCCGGGACGAUAAUGACGGUACCGGAGGAAUAAGCCCCGGCUAACUUCGUGCCAGCCGCCGCCGUAA
RNAcentral lists this ribosomal RNA (449 nucleotides) under uncultured bacterium. RNAcentral describes it as "partial 16S ribosomal RNA". It matches the Rfam family "Bacterial small subunit ribosomal RNA", at positions 29 to 523 of the family's 1533-position model. The record is from RNAcentral.